This 253-nucleotide ribosomal RNA is filed under the name uncultured bacterium. RNAcentral describes it as "partial 16S ribosomal RNA". It matches the Rfam family "Bacterial small subunit ribosomal RNA", at positions 524 to 776 of the family's 1533-position model. The record is from RNAcentral.
UACGUAGGGCGCAAGCGUUGUCCGGAAUUAUUGGGCGUAAAGAGCUCGUAGGCGGCCUGUUACGUCUGCUGUGAAAUCCCGGGGCUUAACCCCGGGCGUGCAGUGGAUACGGGCAGGCUGGAGGCAGGCAGGGGAGAACGGAAUUCCCGGUGUAGCGGUGAAAUGCGCAGAUAUCGGGAGGAACACCGGUGGCGAAGGCGGUUCUCUGGGCCUGUACUGACACUGAGAGACGAAAGCUAGGGGAGCGAAUGGG